This is a long non-coding RNA of Gasterosteus aculeatus aculeatus (three-spined stickleback), 4598 nucleotides long. The record is from Ensembl. Lineage: Eukaryota; Metazoa; Chordata; Actinopteri; Perciformes; Gasterosteidae.
CGAUUCCUCCUUUUUUUGGUCUUCCUCUAUUACGCUGACACACGCACACACGUACUCACACUCAGACAUCAAGUUACAACAGCUCCAGUGUAGCUUAGCAUCUUGAGCAACACUGUGCUGACACGCGUUGGCUUUUGGGACCCCUGAGGGACCUUCUGACGCAGGGAGAAGUCUUAUGGAAAACGGGAGCUGGAGUGUUUGGGGAAAGGGGGAGACAGCCGCCAUGAGAGGAAUGUUAACUAUGGGGUGAAAUGAAUGGGCAUCAAUGGCUUUAUAAAAGCUAUAUGCAAUCUCAUGGAUUAACUUUAACUUGAAGAUGGAUUUCCUGCAGAAAGUAGAUGAUUGAAAGCAGUAUUUAUAGUAUAUAGUUAUACAGAAAGCGGUCUGAUGUCCAGGGGCUCUUCAUAACAACGGGGUGUGGUAAGAAAGUCUGAUGUUGGCCCGCUGAGUUCUUUCUCAAUCCUGGAACAGACAGGACUCCUGUAUUUUGUGGAAUUAAAGGUUAAAGAUCAGGCAGGUAAGAAGGGGGCGUGUCCAUUUUCAAAUGUGAUCUGACAUUGACAGGUUGCUACUAAAGGAAAGCUAAAGCUCGUGUAAUAGCACCUUUCCGCAGCAUUAAUUUGACACGUCGUUGCAGGGAAACAGGUGCAAUUAAUAACACUAUUUAAGGCUCUGUUGCAUUCAGGCACACAGAUCAUGCAUACUGUCACACUGGAAAGGCUGUCGCGCACAAUCUACAACGUAACAUAAUUAAUAGGCAAAGCCAUUUUAUUUAGCACAUUUCAACACAAGGCAAUUCAUGGUGCUGCACAUAGAACCAUUAAAACAUGCAAGCGUGAAGCAGGGAGAUUUAAAACAGUAAAAGGACAUUGAUUAAAACAUUUAAAAAAAAUAAAUAAAAAGAUAGAAACAUUAAAAAAGGUAAAAUAGAAUAAAAUGUGCAGUGCACAGCCGACGCAGGCGCUGCUGCAUUUUCUGGACGUACAUUUUUCAGAAACCACAUUUACUUCAUCUCCAUCUGUAGGAAGCAGACUGCAGAUCAGAUAAAGGCCUCAAACCGUGGCUAUAAAACCAAAGCGAUCUCAUGGACAGAUACACUGAGCGAGGGAAGGUUUCUGUGUCCAUAAUGCAUGCUGCGGAAUCCACUUUUCUAUUGGGCGAGUAAUCAUUUCAUAGUUUGGUACUCAAAUUGUCCUGAAAGAAGAUAUCGGGAUAAUCACCUCACAGUUCUCCACCAGACACGUUUAAAAUAAAUACAUAAAAAGGACGUGACAGGAAUUACAUUGUUAAUCAUCAAAUCAGCGUCCUGUUGUGAGACGUGUGUGGGAGCUUCUCGUGGCAUGAAGAUAUAGACUUUAAUGCAAGGCGCCGUUAUUCCAACUGGAUCUAUCAUCCACGGAAGCCUAAUUCUUUGCGUACUUAUAGGCAAGAAGAACAGUAAUUCACAUCAUUUACGGCCACAGAGGACGAGACAAUAAAAUCGCGAGGCAUUAACAAGGGUUUCUCAGAGACCAAAUUAGUUUUCAUGCAAUUAUGAGUCUCCACUAAUUCUCGACACACUGGCGCUGAGCGAGAAGGGGCGGAGGCGCCGUGCAUCAACACACGCACACGCACACACACACACACACACACACACAGCAAACACUCCUGCGGCAUGAUUGAGUGCAGUUGGUCUUGUUAGUACCUUGUCAUCACGGGAGGACGCAGUUAAUUAAAAGUGCGCGCGUGCGACGUUCCGCCCACCCUUCCUCACGCCGCCCUCACAACUUCAUCAGCUCAACGCAACGAACGCACCGCCACAUACGCCGAUGCGGGUCCUCGCGCAGUGUAAUUCACGUUACACUGAUCCGCGCGCGGGUCCCCGGGAGCAGCGCGCGACCAUGCGCCAGUGCGCGCGCGUUCUUUGAUUGGGGAUGUUAGAGGUGACGCCCCACGCCGCCGCAAUUACACGUGCUGAGAGCGCGCGAGCGUGCUCGUGUGCGCGCGCGCCUGUGCCUGCGUGCGCGUGUGCGCGCGCGUGGGACGUGAUCUCGGAUCCUCUAUGGAAGUUUUUAAUAGAGCUGCAGAGACAGAUGGCACACAUUCAUUACGGCGUGAUGGGUUAACACAUCUAAACCCCCCCUCUCACCCCCCCCUCCUCACCCCUUCUACUCCUCUCAACCAGCCGUUCUUUCCUCCCCCCCAAACAAUCUAUGCAUCUAGUCAAGAGUCAGCACCGACUGGGCCUCGAAUCCCCCCCCAUGUUUCUCUGGAGGGAAGGAUUCCCCACUUCAUCCCAGAAAUGUCUCAUUCAUUUGGAAGGUGUCCGCACCGGCACGUCUGAAGCCGCCGAGAAGCUCCGCAGCAGCAGAAGGCCUCAAUAGGGGGAGCUGAAAUAUUAAACUUCUGAAAACCUGGUGAAGUGUGUGAGAUUGUGUCCAUUCUCCAGCAGCCCACCCACCCCUGUGCUCCAAUUCCCUCCCAGGAGAGAUUGAAAAGUCUCUCAGAGCCUUCCGCCUCAUUUCUACGCCUGUCAAAGAUCUCCGCGGUGGGAAAAGAGGAGAAGAGUGCUAAGGAGGGUGCGCGUAGAUCAAACGCGUUAAUAAGUAGCCCAAUGAAGGCGGCAACUCCAAACGCCAUUACCCGCGAUGACACGCUGCCAAAUCACCAUCAGAACCUCCCUGUCAGCUUCUAAGGGAAACGGCGAGGGGGUGUCGACAGUUAGGAGGCUCUAGGUAUGUGUGAGGAGAUGAGAGGUAAUUGCCUCUUGUUAUAGAAAAGAGGUGGAAGUGGAACAGCGUAUGUGUGUGUGUGUGUGAUAGUGAGAGGGGGGGGGGGUAAAAAAGAGAUAUUAAAGUCACACAAUCCGGCUUUGAAAGGUCACCUGUGAUGCAGAUGUGUCCGUUAUGAACUGCUGAACUCUGCACACAUGCAGGCUCGCUUCAGUGAAUCCCUGUGUUUCCACUCACGGUUGUCAUGGUUCCCCCCCCAACCCCCCCACGCCUUUCACAGUCUGUAUUUGUCAAACGUGAGCCCUGGUGUUAUGGCCCUGGUGUUAUCGCCCUGGUGUUAUCGCCCUGGUGUUAUGGCCCUGGUGGUAUCGCCCUGGUGUUAUCGCCCUGGUAGUAUCGCCCUGGUGUUAUCACCCUGGUGGUAUGGCCCUGGUGGUAUGGCCCUGGUGUUAUGGCCCUGGUGGUAUGGCCCUGGUGUUAUGGCCCUGGUGUUAUGGCCCUGGUGGUAUCGCCCUGGUGUUAUGGCCCUGGUGGUAUCGCCCUGGUGUUAUGGCCCUGGUGUUAUCGCCCUGGUGUUAUGGCCCUGGUGUUAUGGCCCUGGUGGUAUCGCCCUGGUGGUAUCGCCCUGGUGUUAUCGCCCUGGUGGUAUCGCCCUGGUGUUAUGGCCCUGGUGUUAUGGCCCUGGUGGUAUCGCCCUGGUGUUAUUGCCCUGGUGGUAUCGCCCUGGUGGUAUCGCCCUGGUGGUAUUGCCCUGGUGUUAUGGCCCUAGUGGUAUCGCCCUGGUGUUAUAUCCCUGGUGGUAUCGCCCUGGUGUUAUAUCCCUGGUGGUAUCGCCCUGGUGUUAUCGCCCUGGUGUGGCCUGAAAAAAAGAGAAUUGGAUCUUUGUUUGCGACGGAGAAGUGAGAUGAGCGGCGGCGGUAAACGCUGCCUGUGACCUCUCUGUGUCGCUCCUCGUAUCUCGUAAGUGGCUAACCUGUCUUCACCUCCGUCUCGCUCCUUCGCCGGCCUUCUGCCCUCCUCCCGCUCGCUCACAGGGCGCUUUAUCGCUACGUCUUUUCUCCGCUUUCCUAUCUGCCCUCGAUCUGCGCCUCCUGUUAAGAUCUCCCACGUCCUCGCGCUGUUUCUAUUUUCUCUUUGUUCGGAGUCAUCGUCUUUUCUCCGUCACCUUCGCGUUUUUUUUCCCCGAGCUCGAAGCGCUGGCGGCAUUCUCCCCGCCUCCGCCGACCUUUGGCCCCUCCUCCUCGGCCCUUUUUCCGUCCCACACCGUCGCGCUCCUUUCCUGCCCUCUUUGCCAUCGCAUUACCCUGCGUUUCAUUCCUUCUCACAUCUCUUCCUCACCCGGUCCACUUCACCUCAUGGCGUCCUCUUAAACCCCCCAUUUCCUCCUUAAAUCUCCCCUUUCAUCACUCAUUUAGUGCUGCUGAAAUCCUCUCCUUUCUCCCCCUGCUUCCUCCCUCCCUCACUCCCAGCAUCCCGUCCAAACCUCUGGCCAGCUUUAGUCAACCCCCCCUCCCCUCCCCGUCUCUAUCUCCAGCCUCCCCCAUUCCCAUGCCCUCCCUCCCUCCCCCAUUCCUCCCUCUCUCUUUCACCUGCCGCCGUGCCGUCUGCGAGAUAAGCAGAGCCAUCGGCUUCCUGACAACAUACGGCCCCACGUGCGCCGGCGCGACCCGCAGCCGGGGCGGCCAUUGAACUUGUCAGAGAGAAAGCGGCGUCUCGGGGGGCGCGAGGCGGGCUGCUAGCGGACGACGCAGGACUCGCAGAGGGGAGGGGGGGUUGUUUAAAGUAUGAAUUGUUGUUUGGACACACCGGAGACGUUUGACCUUGUCCACCUCGAGCAGGCUGUCAAGAGUUGUAGACUGGAUACGGUUGCGCAGGGGGGGAGGGAGG